UGACCUCGGAUCAGGUAAGGAUACCCGCUGAACUUAAGCAUAUCAAUAAGCGGAGGA
Molecule: ribosomal RNA, 57 nt
Filed under: Sphaeropsis visci
Lineage: Eukaryota; Fungi; Ascomycota; Dothideomycetes; Botryosphaeriales; Botryosphaeriaceae
Description: partial 28S ribosomal RNA
Rfam family: Eukaryotic large subunit ribosomal RNA
Source: RNAcentral